CGAUGACACUCUCCAGAAUCACUGUACUGCUUUGAUGAAAGUACACUUGAACCCUUUUAAUAUAGUCAAUAAUUUUC
Molecule: small nucleolar RNA, 77 nt
Organism: Rhinolophus ferrumequinum (greater horseshoe bat)
Lineage: Eukaryota; Metazoa; Chordata; Mammalia; Chiroptera; Rhinolophidae
Source: Ensembl